This 62-nucleotide transfer RNA is filed under the name Elateroidea sp. 8 KM-2017. RNAcentral's name for it is "tRNA-Ser". The record is from RNAcentral. Lineage: Eukaryota; Metazoa; Arthropoda; Insecta; Coleoptera.
GAAAUAUCACCAAGAAGAAACUUCUAAUUUCAAUCUUUAGCGAUUUAAACGUUAAUAUUUCU